AUUGAACGCUGGCGGCAUGCCUAACACAUGCAAGUCGAACGAGUGGCGGACGGGUGAGUAAUGUCUGGGAAACUGCCUGAUGGAGGGGGCUAACUACUGGAAACGGUAGCUAAUACCGCAUACUAUCGGAUGUGCCCAGAUGGGAUUAGCUAGUAGGUGGGGUAAAGGCUCACCUAGGCGACGAUCCCUAGCUGGUCUGAGAGGAGGAUCAGCCACACUGUGACUGUGACACGGUCCAGACUCCUACGGGAGGCAGCAGUGGGGAAUAUUGGACAAUGGGCGCAAGCCUGAUGCAGCCAUGCCGCGUGUAUGAAGAAGGCCUUAGGGUUGUAAAGUACUUUCAGCGGGGAGGCGUUACCCGCAGAAGAAGCACCGGCUAACUCCGUGCCAGCAGCCGCGGUAAUUC
RNAcentral lists this ribosomal RNA (406 nucleotides) under uncultured bacterium. RNAcentral describes it as "partial 16S ribosomal RNA". It matches the Rfam family "Bacterial small subunit ribosomal RNA", at positions 30 to 526 of the family's 1533-position model. The record is from RNAcentral.